Delphinapterus leucas (beluga whale) is the source of this 1041-nucleotide non-coding RNA. Lineage: Eukaryota; Metazoa; Chordata; Mammalia; Artiodactyla; Monodontidae. The record is from RefSeq and is a predicted model, not a curated record.
GACAGUUUUAAGCACUUCAUUUAUUUAACAAAUUUACUGAGUUAACAAAUGAAGUUUAGAUAGUCUAAUGUUGAUGGAGGAAUUGAGAAAUGAGGACACUGGCUCAGCCCAGCUGAUAUUCAUCAGUGUUUACCCCCCCCCAGGCUUUGUUUCAAACACUUUAAUGUAUUAACUCAUUUUAUUAUCUUCAUUUUACAGAAGAGGAUCAUGAGACAGAGAGAUGUUUUAGGGUGACCAGCUGUCCAGGUGUGUCUAGGAUGGAGAGGUUUCCCAGCAUGUGGGACUUUGAGUGCUAAAACCAGGACAGCUCCAGGCAAACUGGAACAGUGGGUCCACCUAGGUGUUAAUAACUUGACCAAAGUCACACAGUUAGUAAGUGGCAGAGCCUGUCCUCCAAUUCAGGUAGCCUGACUUUAGACCCGAACUCUGCUUCUGCCAGUGGUUCACACACCUGAGCCUGCAUCUGAAGUGGCUGGAGAUCUUGUUAAAACUCAGAUUAGGUUUGGGGCAGCUGAAAAUCUGCUCGUCUAACAAGUUCCCAGGUGAUGUCGAUGCUGCUGGCCCGUGGACCAACAUGGAGAACCGCGGCGUUCGGCUACCUCGCCUCCAGAUGAGAAUGUUGGAAUGGACUUUUCAGAGCCCCUGUUGAGUUCCCUGCUGCGUAGGAUGCCAGAACUGGAGACUGUGGAGAUCAUGAAGUUGGUGAAUUGCCCCGAGACCUUCACCCCGGACAUGAGGUGCAUCAUGGGCGAGUCCCCUUCAGUGCGGGGCUACUUCGUCCUGGCGGGAAUGAACUCUGCUGGCCUUUCGUUUGGUGGAGGAGCUGGAAGAGUUGACCAGAGAGUAAAGUGUUAGCUGUGCUGCUGGAAGACCCUUCACUGAAACGAGCUGCAGAAGCUUUCGACCCUACACCCAUCUGUUGAAGGUUCAAAAUGAUUCUUCAAUUGCAUAUGCUGAGAAGAUUGUGGAGCCCCUCUCCCAAGACAGCACAAGUGGUGAUAAUAACAUCAUUUCAGAGAGAAGAAAAAAGUACCAACCACC